This 505-nucleotide ribosomal RNA is filed under the name uncultured bacterium. RNAcentral describes it as "partial 16S ribosomal RNA". It matches the Rfam family "Bacterial small subunit ribosomal RNA", at positions 30 to 523 of the family's 1533-position model. The record is from RNAcentral.
AUUGAACGCUGGCGGCAGGCCUAACACAUGCAAGUCGAACGGUAGCACAGAGGAGCUUGCUCCUUGGGUGACGAGUGGCGGACGGGUGAGUAAUGUCUGGGAAACUGCCCGAUGGAGGGGGAUAACUACUGGAAACGGUAGCUAAUACCGCAUAACGUCUUCGGACAAAGUGGGGGACCUUCGGGCCUCACACCAUCGGAUGUGCCCAGAUGGGAUUAGCUAGUAGGUGGGGUAAUGGCUCACCUAGGCGACGAUCCCUAGCUGGUCUGAGAGUAUGACCAGCCACACUGGAACUGAGACACGGUCCAGACUCCUACGGGAGGCAGCAGUGGGGAAUAUUGCACAAUGGGCGCAAGCCUGAUGCAGCCAUGCCGCGUGUAUGAAGAAGGCCUUCGGGUUGUAAAGUACUUUCAGCGGGGAGGAAGGCGUUAAGGUUAAUAACCUUGGCGAUUGACGUUACCCGCAGAAGAAGCACCGGCUAACUCCGUGCCAGCCGCCGCCGUAA